UCAGCUCCCCUCGGCAUUUCCCCAUCCCAGGGCAGCCACGACUGAGACAGAAGCCAGGGAAGGGGAUAGGGAGGGGGUAGCCGGAGGAAGAGAUGCCGGCCCCUCGGGAGACAUCAGCUCGGGGUCCUAGGAUGCCAGAGAGCUUGCAGACUAACUGCCUGUGUGUCCAGGUGAGGAAGCGGGAGGCUGUAAGAAUUCCGCAAUCUGAGUGGAUGAGACAGAACCCAAAUCUCCUGAGUCCACAUCCAACUUCUCAGAAAAAGCAACAGCCUGGUCUCUCUGCUGUGGAAGCUGCAGGGAAACCAUGACCAAGAAAAAGUCAGAACCGGAGCACAAGAUGACUCUUGCAUUUGAAGCUGCUUGCAAGGGACCAAAGUCUGGAGAUGGAGAGGGUCCCCCUAAGGCCUCCCAGAUGUAACCUCGGAGCCAGGCAUGUCUGAUUUGUUGCUCUUAGGCUGCAUACACCCUGAGAUAGCAAUGAACUUGGCCCCACACAGCAUCCUGAACUCACUCCCAACGUUAUGAGGUACUUUAUAGUGGUCAUUGGUUUUUGGUAACGUGAUUGCCUAGUUCUCCAGUAUGAUUUAGCGAUGGUGUGAAUGUUGUGGAUGACAACUUUGUGUCACGAUAUUUAAAAGUUGGCCACACCUGCAUCCGGUGUUCAAGACAAUCAAGACUCUCAGCACCUAGAGGCGGGUGGGCAGGAAGGCGAAGGACAGAGGAUGUGGAAGGACCAAGAAGGCAGCCCUUAGCCAAACCCGGCAGGGUUUUCAGUGUGUGGAGUGGAGGAGCCUCUUCUUCCUUGCUAUAGAGGAGCUCUGGCUGCCUCUGGAUCCUGCUAUGCUCUCCUCAGCGCGAUGGACUGUCCCUUCAGACAACGAGCUGGAAUAAGCUCUUUCUCCUGCAUCUGUCAGGCAUUUGGUCACCGAGACAGAAAAAGCAAGGAACACACCGAGAGAGUGAGCCUCACUAUGUCCCAGGCUAAACGUCUCAGCUUCCAGAGUGAGAGUAUCAGGAGACAGGGCCUCUGGGAGGUAAUGAGACAAUGAGGGUGCCCCAUGAUGAGCCUUGUACUGUCUUUUUGUUUAAUUGGGGUCUCCCUAUGUGGAUUUCGCCUUGAUUGCCGGAGUCCUAGGACUGUGAGCAUGUGCCAUCCAGAUGCAGGUGAGCUCUUAUGAGAAGAGCUGUGUACAACCUGUUCCCUCUCUCUUUGUUUGUGUGGAGGUGCAGCACCCCAGAAGCUGAGUGGAAGCCAGGAAUAGGUUCUCAUGAGACGUGGCACCUGUCAGCAUCUGGAUAGUGGAUUCCCCAGGCUCUAGAGCCUUUGGAAAAAUUCCACCCUUGUUUCAGUUGGACCAAGCAAAAAGGGAAUUGUCCACUCUUGAGCCGGAAUAGCCAGGGGGUACCAGCCUCCUCCGGAGUCCAGGUGGACAAGUAGAACAGGCGAGGAGCGGCAGAAAGGAGGCUGAGCAGGACCCCCUCAGCUGAGGCCGAGGGAGGGGAGAACAGAGAAGCCUCUCCACCUCGGAGUGCUUUCCAGCUCUUCCCUCACCUAGGAGGCUGUGAGGGGCUGCAACCCCACAGUAAGAAGUGAAUCUUCCGUGUGGAUGCAUGAAAUUCACUCUCGUUCCCUCUUUUUCCCUCGAAGUCACGGCACACAGCUCUCAUUGUUCCUCUUAUCUGGGGCCUCCAGCGCUGCAUUUGUUCAUUUAAGAAAUAUUUACGGAACACCCACUGUGCUACACACACACACACACACACACACACACACACACACACACACACAGAGUGUGUAGGUUCCAAUACAGGAGGGAGACUUAUGUUCCGAAAAUUUAAGCUCUGAAGUCAGUUUGCUUUUGCCUGUGAGUACUGCUUGCUAAGCAAACUGGGGUGAAUUACACAAGGUCUCAAUGCCUGCUUCCUGGUCUUAACACAGAGUAAGCACAGCUCUUUGCUUCCGAGGCUGUGGUGAGGACUGAAUGAGCAAGCAUGGAGUGUGUACACAGCGCCCAGCACAAAGCAGCCUUUCAGUAAGCAUUAGCCAUUGUUUCCCCUCACCUCGCUCAGCUGGAGGCAGUCAGACCCAUAAAUGACCUGUUCUUCAAAUCUGCCUCUUGCUCAACCUGGUGACUCAGAGGCCAUCACCUGGUGCUCACCACCUCUCACCCCCUGAGGCUCAUCCACACUCAGCCGGCAGACCUCUGUCUGCUCACACUGCGGCUAUUCCCGGCCUUCACUGCUGUCAGCCCCACUAGGGAUCCCAUACAGUGAGAGGGUAGCCUCAGCUCUUUGAAACCCUCCAGAUGGAAGUCUGAACUAGCUGUUCCUUCUCAGCUGUCUGGGCACAGAGGAGAACAAGGAGCCUUCGGGGGUGGAGUCCAGAUACCUACACUACAGGAGUAGGGAACACAGGACUUGGCCGGGGAGAAGGCUCAGGGCACUCCAGCUCAGAGGGAUCCAUGUGUGGCAUUCCAAAGUGGGAAGCAGUUGGCGCUCAUCCUGGGUGCAGAAAUGGCUGGGCCCACUCAGUGGGUCAGGAUCGGGUCAUGCCAAGGCCCAAGUAGCAUAGUGGCUCCUCUAUUCUUGAACAACUGUGCUUGCUGCCCAUUUGGCACAGGGCUUGAGAACUAGGAGUGUGCACUCAGUCAGGGCAAGAGGAGGGACCAGGACACACACACACACACACACACACACACACACACACACAC
This is a long non-coding RNA of Onychomys torridus (southern grasshopper mouse), 2708 nucleotides long. RefSeq lists it as uncharacterized. NCBI's taxonomy places the organism in Eukaryota, Metazoa, Chordata, Mammalia, Rodentia, Cricetidae. The transcript has 4 exons. The record is from RefSeq and is a predicted model, not a curated record.